GUUUCCGUAGUGUAGUGGUUAUCACGUUUGCUUUACACGCAAAAGGUCCCCUGUUUGAAACUGGGCGGAAACA
Non-coding RNA from Danio rerio (zebrafish), 73 nucleotides. The record is from Rfam. NCBI's taxonomy places the organism in Eukaryota, Metazoa, Chordata, Actinopteri, Cypriniformes, Danionidae.